RNAcentral lists this long non-coding RNA (428 nucleotides) under Carica papaya (papaya). Its description in RNAcentral is "long non-coding RNA (CPAP_LNC003493)". Lineage: Eukaryota; Viridiplantae; Streptophyta; Magnoliopsida; Brassicales; Caricaceae. The record is from RNAcentral.
CAAUAAUAGCUUAUGGAGCCUAGUGAAAGGCAUCUUUAUUAAACCCUUGUCUCCCUUCUGUAAGCAAAUACGACUCGAGGGAGACUAUCAGUAGAGAGACCUAAUACCCAGAAUGCCUCAACCCAAACAAAAUUCAUUGAGUUGUUCUGAGCUAUUUAAGAUUUGACUGCUGCUAUGGACCAUAACCUUACUCAUAACACCAAUUGCCCUUAUCUUACAGAUGAACACUGUCAUCCUAAGCAUGUCAUAUCACACAAUAUCUCAGAGUUCCAGAAGCUGAACCCUCCUUAUAUUAAUGGUGGACCAGAUCACAUGGUUAUCGAAGCAUGGAUCGUGCAUAUGGAGAAGCUAUUCUUUGUUCUUGAACUACUUAGGGUUUGACUAUUGUUGUGGACCAUAACCUUACUCAUAACACCAACUGCCCUUAU